Molecule: ribosomal RNA, 253 nt
Filed under: uncultured bacterium
Lineage: Bacteria
Description: partial 16S ribosomal RNA
Rfam family: Bacterial small subunit ribosomal RNA
Source: RNAcentral
UACGUAGGUGGCAAGCGUUAUCCGGAUUUAUUGGGCGUAAAGGGAACGCAGGCGGUCUUUUAAGUCUGAUGUGAAAGCCUUCGGCUUAAUCGGAGUAGUGCAUUGGAAACUGGGAGACUUGAGUGCAGAAGAGGAGAGUGGAACUCCAUGUGUAGCGGUGAAAUGCGUAGAUAUAUGGAAGAACACCAGUGGCGAAAGCGGCUCUCUGGUCUGUAACUGACGCUGAGGUUCGAAAGCGUGGGUAGCAAACAGG